RNAcentral lists this ribosomal RNA (301 nucleotides) under uncultured bacterium. Its description in RNAcentral is "partial 16S ribosomal RNA". It matches the Rfam family "Bacterial small subunit ribosomal RNA", at positions 509 to 807 of the family's 1533-position model. The record is from RNAcentral.
CAGUCGCCGCGGUAAGACAGAGGGUGCAAACGUUGUUCGGAAUUACUGGGCGUAAAGCGUGUGUAGGCGGCUUCGCAAGUCGGAUGUGAAAGCCCCGGGCUCAACCCGGGAAGUGCACUCGAUACUGCGGAGCUAGAGUGUCGGAGAGGUUGGUGGAAUUCUCGGUGUAGAGGUGAAAUUCGUAGAUAUCGAGAGGAACACCGGUGGCGAAGGCGGCCAACUGGACGAACACUGACGCCGAGACACGAAAGCGUGGGGAGCAAACAGGAUUAGAUACCCCGGUAGUCCCUGUCUCUUAUAC